This 460-nucleotide ribosomal RNA is filed under the name uncultured bacterium. Its description in RNAcentral is "partial 16S ribosomal RNA". It matches the Rfam family "Bacterial small subunit ribosomal RNA", at positions 338 to 795 of the family's 1533-position model. The record is from RNAcentral.
CCUACGGGAGGCAGCAGUGAGGAAUAUUGGUCAAUGGACGGAAGCCUGAACCAGCCAUGCCGCGUGCAGGAAGACGGCUCUCUGAGUUGUAAACUGCUUUUGUACAAGGGUAAACCUGAAUACGUGUAUUCAGCUGAAAGUACUGUACGAAUAAGGAUCGGCUAACUCCGUGCCAGCAGCCGCGGUAAUACGGAGGAUCCAAGCGUUAUCCGGAUUUAUUGGGUUUAAAGGGUGCGUAGGCGGAUUGAUAAGUUAGAGGUGAAAUGUCCGAGCUUAACUCGGGAACUGCCUCUAAUACUGUUGAUCUAGAGAGUAGGUGAGGUAGGCGGAAUGUAUGGUGUAGCGGUGAAAUGCUUAGAGAUCAUAAAGAACACCGAUUGCGAAGGCAGCUUACCAAUCUAUAUCUGACGUUGAGGCACGAAAGCGUGGGGAGCAAACAGGAUUAGAUACCCUUGUAGUC